GCAACGCGAAGAACCUUACCAGGCCUUGACAUGCAGAGAACUUUCCAGAGAUGGAUUGGUGCCUUCGGGAACUCUGACACAGGUGCUGCAUGGCUGUCGUCAGCUCGUGUCGUGAGAUGUUGGGUUAAGUCCCGUAACGAGCGCAACCUUGUCCUUAGUUACCAGCACGUUAUGGUGGGCACUCUAAGGAGACUGCCGGUGACAAACCGGGGGAAGGUGGGGGAUGACGUCAAGUCAUCAUGGCCCUUACGGCCUGGGCUACACACGUGCUACAAUGGUCGGUACAAAGGGUUGCCAAGCCGCGAGGUGGAGCUAAUCCCAUAAAACCGAUCGUAGUCCGGAUCGCAGUCUGCAACUCGACUGCGUGAAGUCGGAAUCGCUAGUAAUCGUGAAUCAGAAUGUCACGGUGAAUACGUUCCCGGGCCUU
RNAcentral lists this ribosomal RNA (427 nucleotides) under uncultured Pseudomonas sp. RNAcentral's name for it is "bacterial SSU rRNA". It matches the Rfam family "Bacterial small subunit ribosomal RNA", at positions 956 to 1382 of the family's 1533-position model. The record is from RNAcentral. Lineage: Bacteria; Pseudomonadati; Pseudomonadota; Gammaproteobacteria; Pseudomonadales; Pseudomonadaceae.